AACGAACGCUGGCGGCAGGCCUAACACAUGCAAGUCGAGCGAGAUCUUCGGGUCUAGCGGCGGACGGGUGAGUAACGCGUGGGAAUAUGCCUCUUGGUACGGAAUAGCCUCGGGAAACUGGGAGUAAUACCGUAUGUGCCCUUUGGGGGAAAGAUUUAUCGCCAAGAGAUUAGCCCGCGUUGGAUUAGGUAGUUGGUGGGGUAAUGGCCUACCAAGCCGACGAUCCAUAGCUGGUUUGAGAGGAUGAUCAGCCACACUGGGACUGAGACACGGCCCAGACUCCUACGGGAGGCAGCAGUGGGGAAUCGUAGACAAUGGGGGCAACCCUGAUCGAGCCAUGCCGCGUGAGUGAUGAAGGCCUUAGGGUUGUAAAGCUCUUUCAGCUGGGAAGAUAAUGACGGUACCAGCAGAAGAAGCCCCGGCUAACUCCGUG
Molecule: ribosomal RNA, 433 nt
Filed under: uncultured bacterium
Lineage: Bacteria
Description: partial 16S ribosomal RNA
Rfam family: Bacterial small subunit ribosomal RNA
Source: RNAcentral